Molecule: non-coding RNA, 48 nt
Filed under: Schistosoma mansoni
Lineage: Eukaryota; Metazoa; Platyhelminthes; Trematoda; Strigeidida; Schistosomatidae
Source: RNAcentral
AUCCAGCUGACGAUUCUCAUAUAGGACGAAACGCGCGUCAAACUGGAU